Molecule: microRNA precursor, 145 nt
Filed under: Tursiops truncatus (common bottlenose dolphin)
Lineage: Eukaryota; Metazoa; Chordata; Mammalia; Artiodactyla; Delphinidae
Description: miRNA (ENSTTRG00000021589.1)
Source: RNAcentral
CAGGACACCCAGUUAAAUGUGAAUUUCAGAUAAACAAUGAAAAAUUUUUUAGUUAAAUUAUGUCCCAUACAACAUUUGGGACAUACUUAUACUGAAAUAUUAUUCAUUGUUUAUCUGAAACUCAAAUUUCACUGGGCAUCCUGUA